AACGCACCUUGCGCUCCUUGGUAUUCCGAGGAGCAUGCCUGUUUGAGUGUCAUUAAUAUAUCAACCUCUUCAAGUUUUUGCUUGUUAGAGUGUUGGAUGUGGGGGUAUUCUUUGUUGGCUUCUAUGAAGUCAGCUCCCCUCAAAUGUAUUAGCAGAAUAAUUUGUUGAUCCUGUUCAUUGGUGUGAUAAUUAUCUACGCUAUUGACGGGGAAAGCAGUUCAGCUUCUAAUAGUCCAUUGACUUGGACAAAUUUUUCAUUAAUGUGACCUCAAAUCAGGUAGGACUACCCGCUGAACUUAA
Molecule: unclassified non-coding RNA, 300 nt
Filed under: uncultured Cortinarius
Lineage: Eukaryota; Fungi; Basidiomycota; Agaricomycetes; Agaricales; Cortinariaceae
Description: sequence contains ITS2
Rfam family: 5.8S ribosomal RNA (bases 1-52)
Source: RNAcentral